ACAGAGAAAAUGACGUGUUUCCGGGUUGAAGAAGAGGAGUUUUACCUGACCCGGAAUAUUCUCACACCCUAGAGGACUUCUGCCUUGCCUGCGGCCACCUACCAUCAGCCUCUCGGGUUUGCUGGAGCAGAGCACAUGUCUGACAUCUCCAACUCCAAUUUAUGAACAGCCCACAGAACCCCUGUGAAAAUGACUCCUCACCUAAAUAAGCAGAUCCUGUAAUGGUGAAUCAUGAUCCUCCCACCACCUUCUCCCAUUGCACCGCCUUGAGAUCUUCCAUCCACACCUUUGGUCUUCACCCCCUCCUUCCACAUCCCUGACUAUCUGUCUCUGCUAACCACAUGAGGGGAGAGCUGGACAAAUUUUAUGUGAACAAGGCUGUGAGGGCCUGAUGGAACCAGCGUCAAGGUGAUGAAAACAGAAGGUUCCCCUGCCAUGGAAAACAUCUUGUGUGGUCCCAGUGCCAAAGAAGGGGCACGCCAGCGCCCCCUAAGACUUGAGACCACUUGCUCUCACUUAUACAUACAUCAGUGGUUCCCAUACUCAUUCCCAGAAGACCACACAGUCAACCGAAGCUCCUGACACAGGUCUUGGUACCAUGUUGAGUCAAAUUAUCGAUGGUGCUGAACACCCCGUGAUGUACCUGAGCUGAAAACUGCUUGACCAGGAGACCAGACCAAAAGAAGAAUAAAAAUCUUACUCACCGCCAUUUCGUGACACUAAAUCACUUCUGGCUUCCCUGUGAUGACUCCCCUUCCUGUUCCUUCUCCAGUAGAUGUCAUUUCCAGCCCCAUUCCAAUCACACCUAUUAUUCAGUGGAGUUACGUUAUAAAUAUACAGUGUAAAGGACGGCACACAUGGGCUGACAUCCCUUCCAAAA
This is a long non-coding RNA of Polypterus senegalus (gray bichir), 880 nucleotides long. RefSeq lists it as uncharacterized. NCBI's taxonomy places the organism in Eukaryota, Metazoa, Chordata, Cladistia, Polypteriformes, Polypteridae. The transcript is spliced from 3 exons. The record is from RefSeq and is a predicted model, not a curated record.